AGUGAACGCUGGCGGUAGGCCUAACACAUGCAAGUCGAACGGCAGCACAGUAAGAGCUUGCUCUUACGGGUGGCGAGUGGCGGACGGGUGAGGAAUACAUCGGAAUCUACUUUUUCGUGGGGGAUAACGUAGGGAAACUUACGCUAAUACCGCAUACGACCUACGGGUGAAAGCAGGGGAUCUUCGGACCUUGCGCGAUUGAAUGAGCCGAUGUCGGAUUAGCUAGUUGGCGGGGUAAAGGCCCACCAAGGCGACGAUCCGUAGCUGGUCUGAGAGGAUGAUCAGCCACACUGGAACUGAGACACGGUCCAGACUCCGACGGGAGGCAGCAGUGGGGAAUAUUGGACAAUGGGCGCAAGCCUGAUCCAGCCAUAGCGCGUGGGUGAAGAAGGCCUUCGGGUUGUAAAGCCCUUUUGUUGGGAAAGAAAAGCAGCAGGUUAAUACCCCGCUGUUCUGACGGUACCCAAAGAAUAAGCACCGGCUAACUUCGU
Molecule: ribosomal RNA, 491 nt
Filed under: uncultured bacterium
Lineage: Bacteria
Description: partial 16S ribosomal RNA
Rfam family: Bacterial small subunit ribosomal RNA
Source: RNAcentral